This is a long non-coding RNA of Carassius auratus (goldfish), 2227 nucleotides long. RefSeq lists it as uncharacterized. The record is from RefSeq and is a predicted model, not a curated record. The transcript has 4 exons. Lineage: Eukaryota; Metazoa; Chordata; Actinopteri; Cypriniformes; Cyprinidae.
AUCACAGGCUAAACAACCUAACAGUGUCUUUGUUCUCUCUCUCUUGUGCGCUGAGAUGCCUAAUUUUGAAUUUCAUAGCGGCAGAUGAAGCUCGUCUCUGAUUGGAUAAUCGCGGGAGGAGAGCGGGAGAUGAACGAGUGAGGUCAAUAACGAGCGAGCCAGAACUGCGUUUAUUAGACAAAAAACAGGCCAAGCAGAAAUCUUCGGACCACUUUGUCAUUUCAAAGUCAUUUAAGUUUUUAAGACAAAUCUACGAUCUCAACACAAGUUUUUUUGGAGGAUCUGCUGCUGUUCAUCCAGAAAAUUGAAAGAUUGCACGGGACAUCUGCAGAGUGGCUGCUCAGAUGAUGUGAUAGAGAUGCUUCUGCUCAGCUACUUUGAGGAGGAGUCCAUGUUCCUCCAUGUAAAAGAUAAAAGUCUGGCAGAAGAGGUCCAACUGGAGCAAGUGCUUCUGACACCCACUGUUAUUGUCUGUCCUGCUAUUCCUCAACAAGGGACAUGCUGAGUCUGGAAUCAGAACCUAAUCAACACAAACAUGUCAUUCAUUUCUGCAUUGUGCCUCAUGUUUGGGAGCUACUACUGUUUUAAUAUCCAUUAUCCAUCUGAGCUGACUUCAACUCUGGAGUUUUUUCAAAGGCGUUUUCUCAAUAAACCAAGAAAAGGGAACCAAAGUACAGAAUAAAAACUCCAAGAAUCCUCUCAACUUGAACCCUCGAGUCUUCACCCUGAUACAGGAACUCUCCGAUCACGAGUGGCGUUAAGCCUAAAUAUGGACUCUUUCUGUUGACUCUGACUGUUUGUUUGAGAAGAGGUACUGUUUUCACUUUGUUAAAUCCACAAUGUGUAUUAUGGUUAAGGCACUAUGUAAUUAAAUUUUAAACUCUUAAUGGUGGUCUUCUGGAGUAUUUCAACUUGGAUUCAGUCAUAGUUAAAUAAAAAAUAAAUAAAAAAAAACACAUUACAUGUAGAUUUUUUGCAUCUUGUAUACGUUUGAAAAAAAAAGGGCCAAUUGUUUUAUGCCAUACUGAGUUGUUGUUGUGCUCCUGGCACUUUAAACUUGGUUAUAAAAUAACUUUUCAAACAUAGUUUAGCAUCGUUAUUUACAACUAUUUUGAUGGCUAUUAAAUACAUUUUGCAAAAGAUAUCUUCCUCUCUUGUCUUAUUUCAAGAUUUAUUUUUUUAAAUUUACCACAAUAUAACUUCAUUAUUACAGCAUAUUAUGGAUAUUUUAUGUAUAAUAUACAGGACAUCCCAAUUUCAAGCGCAAAGUUUUACUGUUGUUUUACCAGUUUAAAUUAGUUUUUUGUUUAUUUCCCUGUUUAUUUGAUCAUUUAUUGAUGCACAAUAAGCAAUUAUUACAGGUAAAAAAUACAGGAAAGUGUCUAUUUAUAUACAACAUUAUAAUUUUAAAUAAACAGCCGGAUGUAAAUUUAACUGAGCAAACUCGUCAGUUUAGCAUAGUAGUGACAUAGAUAUCACGGAAUCCCAAUGUUGAAUUCACAUGUUUAAAAUGUUACAUUUACUCAAACUUGUUCACUUCAGUGUAAGAAUGAUGUUAAUAUUACUGAAAUCCAAUGUUAAAUAUACAUGUUUAAAAUGUAAAAUUCACAUGUAACUCCGUAAGUAUGUUUACGGUUUGAUGUCAUUUUUACAGUAAUGUUCUGGUAACCACAGCUGCCGGUAUUUUUCCGUAGAAACAACGGGAUUUUUUUUACAGUGUUAAACUUUUGUUUGUUGUGUAAUACUAAAACCCAUAUUAAUUCACAGUAAAUGCUCCAAAUCAAUCAGUCAAACUCAAACAUCAAACAUCUCCUUUGAUUAUGUAUUUGAAAUGUAUUUGUAUUUGAAAAUGAGGUAUGAUGUGCUGGCCGUCUAAUAAAGAAAACAGUUCAUAAAUCUGAUGUCAAAGUCUCCCUGCGCUGUUCCAUAAAAACAACAGACAUGACUUACACUAUGUUCGUAAAUGUAGUUUUUAAGCUCAUACAUAUUACAGUAUGUAACAUUAUUGUUAAAGUCUCUAAAACAGUAAAAUUGCACAAUUGUGCUUCAAAGAUUUUGAGUAAAGUGCAGUUUUAUUGAUUUAUCUGUGGUUAUUACUACUAAAGCAGUACAUUUCUUAAUUGACUUCAUUUUUAUAAAGUAAUAUAACAAUAUUACAAUACAUAAUUAAUCCAUUAAUGUAAUAAUAAUCAUAAUAAGUAUGUUGCAGAGUCAAGUGUGGCAGUGU